Molecule: ribosomal RNA, 484 nt
Filed under: uncultured bacterium
Lineage: Bacteria
Description: partial 16S ribosomal RNA
Rfam family: Bacterial small subunit ribosomal RNA
Source: RNAcentral
GAUGAACGCUGGCGGCGUGCUUAACACAUGCAAGUCGAACGAGAGAAGAUUGGUGCUUGCACUGAUCCGAUCGAGUGGCGGACGGGUGAGUAACGCGUGGGUAACCUGCCUCAUACAGGGGAAUAACAGUUGGAAACGGCUGCUAAAACCGCAUAAGCGCACAGUAUCGCAUGAUACAGUGUGAAAAACUCCGGUGGUAUGAGAUGGACCCGCGUCUGAUUAGCUAGUUGGUGAGGUAACGGCCCACCAAGGCAACGAUCAGUAGUCGGCCUGAGAGGGCGAACGGCCACAUUGGGACUGAGGCACGGCCCAAACUCCUACGGGAGGCAGCAGUGGGGAAUAUUGCACAAUGGGGGAAACCCUGAUGCAGCGACGCCGCGUGAGUGAUGAAGUAUUUCGGUAUGUAAAGCUCUAUCAGCAGGGAAGAUAAUGACGGUACCUGACUAAGAAGCACCGGCUAAAUACGUGCCAGCAGCCGCCGUAA